GGAUUACAGGCGUGAGCCACCGCGCCCGGCCUAAUAAAGGACAAUUUUUAAUAGCCACUGGACUAUUUAAGUGAUCUCUUCUGUCAGUUUCUUUUACCAUCAGAGGACACAGCAGCAAGGUGCCAUCCUAGAAGCAGAGAGCAGACCCUUACCAGACAACCAACCAGCUGGUGCCAUGAUCUUGGACUUCUCGGCCUCCAGAACUGCACUUAAACACGCAGCAUGAGGAAAAUGGAACAACAAUCUUGAGGUGCCUUCUGAAUCAUCAGAUUAAAUUAUGCUUCCAACACCACACCCUCCUGAUCACCAUAGCUUUAUGCAACAACAAGAAACAAAUUUAUUAGCUAACCUAACCACUAAUGACGCAAGAGACAAUUCUAAGGACUUUCAAAACAGCAAAGUAGGAGCAGCUGCUACCUCUAGGGAUGAGGGAUGCAAUUGUCCAAUUAUUGGUGAAAUUGUCAUUUCAUGCUAUUGGCUAUUUGAAAUUCCUCCUCUAAUUUCAGAAUAAAUCACUGAAAUUGACAUCGGCCAGUCUGAAUUUCAAGAAAUUACCUGCUGAAGACAAGAGGGAUCUCUUCUUCAGAUUUGCAGUCUGGGGAAGACACAGCCUCUACUGUACUUUAGAACCUGAGAUAUGGUGGUGGAGGGAGCCCUGGGUCGAGUGGUAAGAUUCACCCUUAGGUCAGAGCUCCGGACUCCAGCCCCAUGCAACUUCAAAAUAUGACAAAUGUCUUGAAGGGGAGAUUGGCAUGCAGAUGAGGAAGGCCCUCUCGCCAACACAUUUGUAUUUCCUCUGUACUGUGAGACUGUGGGAGAUUUACUGCGACAUUUAGAAGCUUUCUUCCAAACUCCUGGGCCUCCGACACUGGUUCUAAACUCAGCAAAUGUUCUUUGGGAAAAACAGACAGUGCAUGUGAGGCCCCUCGAGUUUGGAAUUUAUGUCUCCAGCUUCACAUGGUCUCUCAAGUGCUUAUGCUUUUCUUCUCUCUGCCACCCACAUUCCCACAUCCCGCCCACCCCCCAACUUUCCUCCCUUCACCUUCCCAUGGAGACUUUUUGCCUGGGCUAAAUCUGAUCCUCAGCCCACUCUCAGAAUCGAUAAAUGCCCCUAGGUGAUUGUAAGCUCACCUAAGAUAUACUUUUUCUCCUCUAGAAUUUUAGUUUAUUAGAUUUUUCUAGUUGUCUUUGCAAAAGCGUUAACAGGCUCUGACUUCUGACAUUCAACUAGAUGUGGAAUAUCCAACCCCUAGCAUUUCAUGGAAUGUACUGACCAAGAUAAAAUGUGUUCUUAUUAAACAAUGCCAUUUCUUGACCACUUCUGUUUUUAGGAAUUGUGGUAUCUGAGUCAUGGUGAUUAGAAGUACUAAUGAAAUAAAUGGGAAAAUUAAACUUCUACUAACAUUUCAUAUAGUAGGGAGAUGUCUGUGAAGAAUUAUAACUGGUACAGAUUUUGUGUUUAUAAACAAGGAGACAGAAAAUGCAGAAAAUAAAAAAUAUUUUAUUUAGUUUUAAA
Molecule: long non-coding RNA, 1516 nt
Filed under: Homo sapiens (human)
Lineage: Eukaryota; Metazoa; Chordata; Mammalia; Primates; Hominidae
Description: long intergenic non-protein coding RNA 470
Source: RNAcentral